This 468-nucleotide ribosomal RNA is filed under the name uncultured bacterium. RNAcentral's name for it is "partial 16S ribosomal RNA". It matches the Rfam family "Bacterial small subunit ribosomal RNA", at positions 28 to 507 of the family's 1533-position model. The record is from RNAcentral.
GACGAACGCUGGCGGCGUGCUUAACACAUGCAAGUCGAACGGAAAGGCCCUGCUUUUGUGGGGUGCUCGAGUGGCGAACGGGUGAGUAACACGUGAGUAACCUGCCCUUGACUUUGGGAUAACUUCAGGAAACUGGGGCUAAUACCGGAUAGGAGCUCCUGCUGCAUGGUGGGGGUUGGAAAGUUUCGGCGGUUGGGGAUGGACUCGCGGCUUAUCAGCUUGUUGGUGGGGUAGUGGCUUACCAAGGCUUUGACGGGUAGCCGGCCUGAGAGGGUGACCGGCCACAUUGGGACUGAGAGACGGCCCAGACUCCUACGGGAGGCAGCAGUGGGGAAUAUUGCACAAUGGGCGGAAGCCUGAUGCAGCAACGCCGCGUGCGGGAUGACGGCCUUCGGGUUGUAAACCGCUUUCGCCUGUGACGAAGCGUGAGUGACGGUAAUGGGUGAAGAAGCACCGGCUAACUACGUG